CGGGGACAGGGUGACGAGGUGGUGCAUGGUUGUCGUCAGCUCGUGUCGUGAGAUGUUGGGUUAAGUCCCGCAACGAGCGCAACCCUCGACCUUAGUUGCCAGCAUUCAGUUGGGCACUCUAAGGUGACUGCCGGCUAAAAGUCGGAGGAAGGUGGGGAUGACGUCAAAUCAUCAUGCCCCUUAUGACCUGGGCUACACACGUGCUACAAUGGGCGGUACAAAGGGUCGCGAACCCGCGAGGGGGAGCCAAUCCCAAAAAGCCGCUCUCAGUUCGGAUUGCAGGCUGCAACUCGCCUGCAUGAAGCCGGAUUCGCUAGUAAUCGCGCAUCAGCCAUGGCCGCGGUCCGAAUACGUUCCCGGGCCUU
RNAcentral lists this ribosomal RNA (365 nucleotides) under uncultured Anoxybacillus sp. RNAcentral describes it as "bacterial SSU rRNA". It matches the Rfam family "Bacterial small subunit ribosomal RNA", at positions 1020 to 1382 of the family's 1533-position model. The record is from RNAcentral. Lineage: Bacteria; Bacillati; Bacillota; Bacilli; Caryophanales; Anoxybacillaceae.